This 455-nucleotide long non-coding RNA is filed under the name Rattus norvegicus (Norway rat). RNAcentral's name for it is "long non-coding RNA NONRATT024648". Lineage: Eukaryota; Metazoa; Chordata; Mammalia; Rodentia; Muridae. The record is from RNAcentral.
UGUCAGCAGAAUUGUGAGAGUAAUAGAUACCUCCAAGGUGAUCUCCAAGUUCUUCCUCAGUCUUGAGGUUUGGGAUUCCCGGUUUUUGUCAGUAGAAUUGUGAGAGUAAUACAUACCUCCACGGUGAUUUCAGAGUUCUUCCUCAGUCCUGAGGUUUGGGAUUCCCGGUUUGUGUCAGUAGAAUUGCGAGAGUAGAGGCCCACUUCAGAUCAACGAGUGGAUCCUGUCUCAACCUAAGCUCUAAGGUUGCUUGUGCUGUUAGGGUCACAGCUACAGGCCCAGGAACCCUCUGGAAGAGGAGGUGGAAAAAGUGUAAGAGCCAAUUGGAACGGAAGACAGCAAGGAAACACGGCCUUCUAGACCCAAGAUGACCAAUGUACCUAUGAACUCACAGAGCCUGGGGCAGCAUGCACUGGACCUGCAGAGGUCUAAGCCAGAUGUGCUCUCAGCACUCA